Molecule: non-coding RNA, 30 nt
Filed under: Mus musculus (house mouse)
Lineage: Eukaryota; Metazoa; Chordata; Mammalia; Rodentia; Muridae
Source: RNAcentral
UGAUCUCCCACUAAGAGCUAACACUGCUGG